ACUAUAAACCAGUAUCUAGUAGUGGUAUGGUGGAGGAGGUGAUGCGUAGAUGUAAUGUGGUGGAGGAGGGGAAUAGACCGGUGGAGGUGAUGAGUAAACAGGUGGAGGAGGAGACUUAUAUUUGUAAAUGGGUGGUGGCGAGUAAACAAGUGGAGGAGGAGACUUAUAUUUGUAAACCGGUGGUGA
Molecule: long non-coding RNA, 186 nt
Organism: Lathyrus oleraceus (garden pea)
Lineage: Eukaryota; Viridiplantae; Streptophyta; Magnoliopsida; Fabales; Fabaceae
Exons: 2
Source: RefSeq, a predicted model, not a curated record